AUGAGUACAAUUAGUGGCAGACGGGUGAGUAAUGCAUAGGAAUCUGCCUAGUAGUAUAGGAUAGCCACUAGAAAUGGUGGGUAAUACUGUAUAAUCCCUGCGGGGGAAAGAUUUAUCGCUACAUGAUGAGCCUAUGUUAGAUUAGCUAGUUGGUGGGGUAAUGGCCUACCAAGGCAUUGAUCUAUAGCUGGUCUGAGAGGAUGAUCAGCCACACUGGAACUGAGACACGGUCCAGACUCCUACGGGAGGCAGCAGUGGGGAAUAUUGGACAAUGGGCGCAAGCCUGAUCCAGCUAUGCCGCGUGAGUGAGGAAGGCCUUAGGGUUGUAAAACUCUUUCAGUGGGGAAGAUAAUGACGGUACCCACAGAAGAAGUCCCGGCAAACUCCGUGCCAGCAGCCGCGGUAAUACGGAGGGGGCAAGCGUUGUUCGGAAUUAUUGGGCGUAAAGGGCAUGUAGGUGGUUUGGUUAGUUAAAGGUGAAAUGCCAGGGCUUAAC
RNAcentral lists this ribosomal RNA (496 nucleotides) under Anaplasma sp. RNAcentral describes it as "bacterial SSU rRNA". It matches the Rfam family "Bacterial small subunit ribosomal RNA", at positions 82 to 613 of the family's 1533-position model. The record is from RNAcentral. Lineage: Bacteria; Pseudomonadati; Pseudomonadota; Alphaproteobacteria; Rickettsiales; Anaplasmataceae.